Long non-coding RNA from Oncorhynchus tshawytscha (Chinook salmon), 1024 nucleotides. The record is from Ensembl. Lineage: Eukaryota; Metazoa; Chordata; Actinopteri; Salmoniformes; Salmonidae.
CCCAGACAUGCCACCCAAGCCUCUAGCUGAUCUAAUCUAUACAGAGCCAGGAAGCUCAGCAGAACGUUGUUCGCAGACCCAACACACACACGCAGACCCAACACACACACGCAGACCCGACACACACACACAGACCCAACACACACACGCAGACCCAACACACACACACAGACCCAACACACACACGCAGACCCAACACACACACGCAGACCCAACACACACACACAGACCCAACACACACACACAGACCCAACACACACACGCAGACCCAACACACACCCACACAGACCCAACACACACACGCAGACCCAACACACACACGCAGACCCGACACACACGCAGACCCAACAUACACACGCAGACCCAACACACACACACAGACCCAACACACACACGCACACACACACAGACCCAACACACACACACAGACCCAACACACACACGCAGACCCAACACACACACGCAGACCCGACACACACGCAGACCCAACAUACACACACAGACCCAACACACACACGCAGACCCAACACACACACACAGACCCAACACACACACGCAGACCCAACACACACACACAGACCCAACACACACACGCAGACCCAACACACACACACAGACCCAACACACACACAGACCCAACACACACACGCAGACCCAACACACACGCAGACCCAACAUACACACGCAGACCCAACACACACACACAGACCCGACACACACGCAGACCCAACAUACACACGCAGACCCAACACACACACACAGACCCAACACACACACGCAGACCCAACACACACACACAGACCCAACACACACACGCAGACCCGACACACACACAGACCCAACAUACACACGCAGACCCAACACACACACAGACCCGACACACACGCAGACCCAACACACACACGCAGACCCAACACACACACGCAGACCCAAAACACACACGCAGACCCAACACACACACGCAGACCCAACACACACACGCAGACCCAACACACACACGCAGACCCAACACACACCCACACAC